RNAcentral lists this transfer RNA (71 nucleotides) under Bos taurus (domestic cattle). Its description in RNAcentral is "tRNA-Sup (CTA) (tRNA-Sup-CTA-3-1)". It matches the Rfam family "tRNA". From Rfam's summary of the family: Transfer RNA (tRNA) molecules are approximately 80 nucleotides in length. RNAcentral also lists the same sequence under 5 other names. Lineage: Eukaryota; Metazoa; Chordata; Mammalia; Artiodactyla; Bovidae. The record is from Rfam by way of RNAcentral.
UCCCUGGUGGUCCAGUGGCUAGGACUCCUGCUCCUAAUGCAGGGGCCUGGGUUCAAUCCCUGGUCAGGGAA